GAGUUUGAUCCUGGCUCAGGAUGAACGCUGGCGGCGUGCUUAACACAUGCAAGUCGAACGGUGAAGCAGAGCUUGCUCUGUGGAUCAGUGGCGAACGGGUGAGUAACACGUGAGCAAUCUGCCCCUGACUCUGGGAUAAGCGCUGGAAACGGCGUCUAAUACCGGAUACGAGCUGCGACCGCAUGGUCAGUAGCUGGAAAGAAUUUCGGUCAGGGAUGAGCUCGCGGCCUAUCAGCUUGUUGGUGAGGUAAUGGCUCACCAAGGCGUCGACGGGUAGCCGGCCUGAGAGGGUGACCGGCCACACUGGGACUGAGACACGGCCCAGACUCCUACGGGAGGCAGCAGUGGGGAAUAUUGCACAAUGGGCGAAAGCCUGAUGCAGCAACGCCGCGUGAGGGAUGACGGCCUUCGGGUUGUAAACCUCUUUUAGCAGGGAAGAAGCGAAAGUGACGGUACCUGCAGAAAAAGCGCCGGCUAACUACGUGCCAGCAGCCGCGGUAAUACGUAGGGCGCAAGCGUUAUCCGGAAUUAUUGGGCGUAAAGAGCUCGUAGGCGGUCUGUCGCGUCUGCUGUGAAAACCCGAGGCUCAACCUCGGGCCUGCAGUGGGUACGGGCAGACUAGAGUGCGGUAGGGGAGAUUGGAAUUCCUGGUGUAGCGGUGGAAUGCGCAGAUAUCAGGAGGAACACCGAUGGCGAAGGCAGAUCUCUGGGCCGUAACUGACGCUGAGGAGCGAAAGGGUGGGGAGCAAACAGGCUUAGAUACCCUGGUAGUCCACCCCGUAAACGUUGGGAACUAGUUGUGGGGUCCAUUCCACGGAUUCCGUGACGCAGCUAACGCAUUAAGUUCCCCGCCUGGGGAGUACGGCCGCAAGGCUAAAACUCAAAGGAAUUGACGGGGACCCGCACAAGCGGCGGAGCAUGCGGAUUAAUUCGAUGCAACGCGAAGAACCUUACCAAGGCUUGA
RNAcentral lists this ribosomal RNA (964 nucleotides) under Microbacterium arborescens. Its description in RNAcentral is "bacterial SSU rRNA". It matches the Rfam family "Bacterial small subunit ribosomal RNA", at positions 9 to 984 of the family's 1533-position model. Lineage: Bacteria; Bacillati; Actinomycetota; Actinomycetes; Micrococcales; Microbacteriaceae. The record is from RNAcentral.